AGCUUAGUGUUUUUUUAUAUUAAGUAAUUUCUGCCCAGUGAAUUUUAAAUGGCCGCGGUAUCUUGACCGUGCAAAGGUAGCAUAAUCAUUUGCCUUUUUAUUGGGGGCUAGAAUGAAAGAAAAAAUGAGAGUGUAGCUGUCUCUAUUACAAAAUAAAAAUUGCUGGUUUUGUGAAGAAGCAAAAGUCUUAAAAAAAGACAAGAAGACCCUGCUAAGCUUCACUUUUAGGUUUUUGUUUUUUAUCUUAAAAGAAUAAAAAACAAAACCACGUUAGUUUGGUUGGGGUGACUAAAAAGAAUAAGAUCCUUUUUGUAUAGAUAUACGUUAGGUUUAAUAAAGAGCCAUGUUUUUUGAUUUAUAGAACAAGUUACUACAGGGAUAACAGCGUAAUUUUUUCAGAGAGUUCUUAUUGACGAAAAAGAUUGCGACCUCGAUGUUGACUUGUUGUUUCCUGAGAAGGUGUAGAAGCUUUGAGGGUUAGUCUGUUCGACUAUUAAAAUAAU
This 503-nucleotide ribosomal RNA is filed under the name Lineus sp. crescent. RNAcentral's name for it is "partial 16S ribosomal RNA". It matches the Rfam family "Bacterial large subunit ribosomal RNA", at positions 1817 to 2597 of the family's 2925-position model. The record is from RNAcentral. Lineage: Eukaryota; Metazoa; Nemertea; Pilidiophora; Heteronemertea; Lineidae.